This 519-nucleotide ribosomal RNA is filed under the name Microhyla mymensinghensis. Its description in RNAcentral is "partial 16S ribosomal RNA". It matches the Rfam family "Bacterial large subunit ribosomal RNA", at positions 1856 to 2592 of the family's 2925-position model. Lineage: Eukaryota; Metazoa; Chordata; Amphibia; Anura; Microhylidae. The record is from RNAcentral.
AGCCUGCCCAGUGACUAAGUUAAACGGCCGCGGUACCCUAACCGUGCAAAGGUAGCGCAAUCACUUGUUCUUUAAAUGAGGACUAGUAUGAACGGCAUCACGAGGGUUAUGCUGUCUCCCUAUUCUAUUCAGUGAAACUGAUCUCCCCGUGAAGAAGCGGGGAUAAAAAUAUAAGACGAGAAGACCCCAUGGAGCUUUAAACUCAGUACCAACUGCCCAAUUAAAAACCUUUUACCCCUGCAGCUAUGGUUACUAGUUUUCGGUUGGGGUGACCACGGAGUAAAAAUCAACCUCCACGAUGAAAGGAACUAACAACCUAACCUAUGAGCUACAGCUCUAAGUAUCAAUAAAUUGACUAAUUGAUCCAAUUACUUGAUCAACGAACCUAGUUACCCUGGGGAUAACAGCGCAAUCCAUUUCAAGAGCUCAUAUCGACAAAUGGGUUUACGACCUCGAUGUUGGAUCAGGGUAUCCCAGUGGCGCAGCCGCUACUAACGGUUCGUUUGUUCAACGAUUAAA